Long non-coding RNA from Miniopterus natalensis, 339 nucleotides. RefSeq lists it as uncharacterized. NCBI's taxonomy places the organism in Eukaryota, Metazoa, Chordata, Mammalia, Chiroptera, Miniopteridae. The record is from RefSeq and is a predicted model, not a curated record.
GAAAUAAAUACUACAGCUGCCAGAGACUCAGGGCCUCCACCUGCAUUCAGCAGACACCAUAGGGGGUCUCAUUCCCCUACCCUACAAGGUCCUACAUGUGAGGAGACUUGGGGGCAAGAGGGGAGCCAACUGUCCAGACAUGGCUGGAACCACAUCAAGUGAUUGAACCCGAAACCUUGGUGUAUCAGGAUGGCACUCUAACCAACUGCGGCACCCGGCUGUGGCCUGUCAUUGUUUUUCCUGAUGCUUCAGGUAUGUCAUCAGGUUUGGCUCCUGUGUCCUUGUAGUAUGUCCUGUCACUCUUCUUCUUUUUUUUUAACCCUCACUCGAGGAUAUUUU